GACGAACGCUGGCGGCGUGCUUAACACAUGCAAGUCGAACGGAAAGGCCCUGCUUUUGUGGGGUGCUCGAGUGGCGAACGGGUGAGUAACACGUGAGUAACCUGCCCUUGACUUUGGGAUAACUUCAGGAAACUGGGGCUAAUACCGGAUAGGAGCUCCUGCUGCAUGGUGGGGGUUGGAAAGUUUCGGCGGUUGGGGAUGGACUCGCGGCUUAUCAGCUUGUUGGUGGGGUAGUGGCUUACCAAGGCUUUGACGGGUAGCCGGCCUGAGAGGGUGACCGGCCAAACUGGGACUGAGAUACGGCACAGCCCACUCUGGGACGCAGCAGUGGGGAGUAUUGUAUAAUGGGCGGAAGAAUGAUGUAGCAACGCAGCGUGGGGGAUGACGGCAUUCGGGUUGUAAACCGCUUUCGCCUGUGCCGAAGCGUGAGUGACGGUACUGGGUAAAGAAGCACCGGCUAACUACGUG
This 468-nucleotide ribosomal RNA is filed under the name uncultured bacterium. Its description in RNAcentral is "partial 16S ribosomal RNA". It matches the Rfam family "Bacterial small subunit ribosomal RNA", at positions 28 to 507 of the family's 1533-position model. The record is from RNAcentral.